RNAcentral lists this ribosomal RNA (207 nucleotides) under uncultured bacterium. Its description in RNAcentral is "partial 16S ribosomal RNA". It matches the Rfam family "Bacterial small subunit ribosomal RNA", at positions 568 to 774 of the family's 1533-position model. The record is from RNAcentral.
UGCGCAGGCGGGACUGCAAGUUGGAUGUGAAAUACCGGGGCUCAACCCCGGAGCUGCAUCCAAAACUGUAGUUCUUGAGUGAAGUAGAGGUAAGCGGAAUUCCGAGUGUAGCGGUGAAAUGCGUAGAUAUUCGGAGGAACACCAGUGGCGAAGGCGGCUUACUGGGCUUUAACUGACGCUGAGGCACGAAAGCAUGGGGAGCAAACA